This 235-nucleotide long non-coding RNA is filed under the name Helianthus annuus (common sunflower). RNAcentral describes it as "sRNA HanXRQr2_Chr10g0433321". The record is from RNAcentral. Lineage: Eukaryota; Viridiplantae; Streptophyta; Magnoliopsida; Asterales; Asteraceae.
UGAGAAUAAUUAGAUCAAACCUCCAUUUCUUGGACCCGUUGAUGUUUAGAGUUUUUGACUGUUCAAGCAUGCAGCGCAUAGGACUGCAUACGGGCCUUAGACUUCUAAAACAAAAGAACAAUUACAUGUAUUCUUUGUUUGUAAAACUAUGUUAACGAUAUUGAAACAAUUUAGUACCAGUAGUUGUGAGCAAUUUGUAACGUGACUCCCCGAUAUUUCCGCCGCGUGUUGUUAU